CUGGGGGACGGGCUACUAGUGCAAGUCGAGCGGUAGAGAGAAGCUUGCUUCUCUUGAGAGCGGCGGACGGGUGAGUAAUGCCUAGGAAUCUGCCUGGUAGUGGGGGAUAACGUUCGGAAACGGACGCUAAUACCGCAUACGUCCUACGGGAGAAAGCAGGGGACCUUCGGGCCUUGCGCUAUCAGAUGAGCCUAGGUCGGAUUAGCUAGUUGGUGAGGUAAUGGCUCACCAAGGCGACGAUCCGUAACUGGUCUGAGAGGAUGAUCAGUCACACUGGAACUGAGACACGGUCCAGACUCCUACGGGAGGCAGCAGUGGGGAAUAUUGGACAAUGGGCGAAAGCCUGAUCCAGCCAUGCCGCGUGUGUGAAGAAGGUCUUCGGAUUGUAAAGCACUUUAAGUUGGGAGGAAGGGUUGUAGAUUAAUACUCUGCAAUUUUGACGUUACCGACAGAAUAAGCACCGGCUAACUCUGUGCCAGCAGCCGCGGUAAUACAGAGGGUGCAAGCGUUAAUCGGAAUUACUGGGCGUAAAGCGCGCGUAGGUGGUUUGUUAAGUUGGAUGUGAAAUCCCCGGGCUCAACCUGGGAACUGCAUUCAAAACUGACUGACUAGAGUAUGGUAGAGGGUGGUGGAAUUUCCUGUGUAGCGGUGAAAUGCGUAGAUAUAGGAAGGAACACCAGUGGCGAAGGCGACCACCUGGACUAAUACUGACACUGAGGUGCGAAAGCGUGGGGGAGCAAACAGGAUUAGAUACCCUGGUAGUCCACGCCGUAAACGAUGUCAACUAGCCGUUGGAAGCCUUGAGCUUUUAGUGGCGCAGCUAACGCAUUAAGUUGACCGCCUGGGGAGUACGGCCGCAAGGUUAAAACUCAAAUGAAUUGACGGGGGCCCGCACAAGCGGUGGAGCAUGUGGUUUAAUUCGAAGCAACGCGAAGAACCUUACCAGGCCUUGACAUCCAAUGAACUUUCUAGAGAUAGAUUGGUGCCUUCGGGAACAUUGAGACAGGUGCUGCAUGGCUGUCGUCAGCUCGUGUCGUGAGAUGUUGGGUUAAGUCCCGUAACGAGCGCAACCCUUGUCCUUAGUUACCAGCACGUCAUGGUGGGCACUCUAAGGAGACUGCCGGUGACAAACCGGAGGAAGGUGGGGAUGACGUCAAGUCAUCAUGGCCCUUACGGCCUGGGCUACACACGUGCUACAAUGGUCGGUACAGAGGGUUGCCAAGCCGCGAGGUGGAGCUAAUCCCAUAAAACCGAUCGUAGUCCGGAUCGCAGUCUGCAACUCGACUGCGUGAAGUCGGAAUCGCUAGUAAUCGCGAAUCAGAAUGUCGCGGUGAAUACGUUCCCGGGCCUUGUACACACCGCCCGUCACACCAUGGGAGUGGGUUGCACCAGAAGUAGCUAGUCUAACCUUCGGGAGGACGUUACCCAUAGAGUAAAGC
Molecule: ribosomal RNA, 1439 nt
Filed under: Pseudomonas reactans
Lineage: Bacteria; Pseudomonadati; Pseudomonadota; Gammaproteobacteria; Pseudomonadales; Pseudomonadaceae
Description: bacterial SSU rRNA
Rfam family: Bacterial small subunit ribosomal RNA
Source: RNAcentral